RNAcentral lists this ribosomal RNA (406 nucleotides) under uncultured bacterium. RNAcentral's name for it is "partial 16S ribosomal RNA". It matches the Rfam family "Bacterial small subunit ribosomal RNA", at positions 28 to 526 of the family's 1533-position model. The record is from RNAcentral.
GACGAACGCUGGCGGCAGGCUUAACACAUGCAAGUCGAGCGAGCGGCGGACGGGUGAGUAAUGUCUGGGAAACUGCCUGAUGGAGGGGGAUAACUACUGGAAACGGUAGCUAAUACCGCAUACCAUACGAUGUGCGAAGAUGGGAUUGGCGAGUAGGUGGGGGAAUGGCUCGCCGAGGCGACGCACCCUAGCUGGGCUGAGAGGAUGACCAGCAAAACUGAAACUGAGACGCGGUCCAGACUCCUACGGGAGGAAGCAGUGGGGAAUAUGGCACAAUGGGCGCAAGCCUGAUGCAGCCAGGCCGCGUGUGUGAAGAAGGCCUUCGGGUUGUAAAGCACUUUCAGCUAGGAGGCGUUACUCGCAGAAGAAGCACCGGCUAACUCCGUGCCAGACGCCGCGGUAAUUC